CGAUUCAAACAAAAAUACCCAAGUCUACGUAUUACAAAAACUAGCUUCGCCCGCCCACUAAACCCGGCACAUUCCGCUAAUCUGUUUUUAGUAAACACUAGGUAUCGAUUCCUGUUCUCUACCGUAAGCGAUGAUCACAGGAAGGUGAGGUUCUCCUCGUUACCUCGGAUGCCGGGAAUUCCCAUGUCGUCUCCGGAGUAACUAGGUCUCGAUGAUCUCCUCGAAGCUUGUAACUUUCACCUCCAUAACGCGCAGACGUAAUCGAAGAAGGGAGAUAGAACACUAACCCAUUAAAAACGCUCCAUCACCCGCUAUACAUUCUCCAAGAACGCCUAACCGAUCAAUGGCAUAGAGACACUAAGAUUCCAUACUAAGAACGGUAUGCAAGAAGUCGGGAACGGGUAAGCAGCUGCUCGUGAACAUGAAAACGCUUGAAGACCUGCAAAAAAGCACUAGUGCGCCAACUCUACCAUGACCAACCAAGUGGAGGUCACAGCACUGGGAUGAUUGUCGCACCGGAAGGAGCCACCGACGAUACACAAGGACCCGCAGACUAUACGAAGUCUUCAUGAUCAUCGCCAACCGCCGCCUUAGAGAACCUAAAGCGAUUAGCCUAUCACUGUCAAGAUUGCGCCUGGUGACAACAAGGCAAUCAAACGAAGAACACCACAAGCUGAGACCAACGAAACCAGUCGACAAAGUUCCAGAGGUCAAACAUGAACACGAGCGAGGAAGAGAGAGGCGGAAAGGGAGGGAGGUCGCAACAACGCCUCGGAACGGCCAUAGACGACCGGAACCGACACCGCGCCACCAGAACUACUACCCCCUUAGUGUACUGCUUUAGAAAUUUAAAGAAAUAAUAUAAGGGUUAUGUACAAGUUUUAUUUUAUUUAUUUUGGAAAAUUUGCCAAAAUAGAACAAAAAACACACUCUUUGUCUCCUUAGUAUAAAACCAACCUAAAUUAGUUCAUUUGGUAUAUAUUUGCUAAAAACCCCAUUCUAACCCUUACUAUAUCAAUUAACAAUUUAAAAAUUCACUUUUAAAUAUCAAUUAAAAACAAAAACGAAUUUUGACAAAAAGAAAACAAAAAAUAAAUAAAUCAAAAUAUAAUUAAAACAAAAUCUAAGUGGAAACAAAAAAAGGAAGAAACAAAAUCCCCAAAUCACUAUAAUAUAUGAAUUUUGGUUUUUUGUUAUAAUUAUAAAAUUUUCCUUCAUUGUUUAAAUUUUCUACAAUUUGAUUUAAUAUAUAUUAACCAAAAUAAAUAAAUGAAAAUAUAUCUUAAUUAUAAUUUUAAAUAUAUGAAUAUAUAUUCUUAAUUAUAAAUUAAAGUAAAUCAAAUUGUUUUUUUUUGUUUUUUUUUUCUAAAAAUCAUUUUUUGAAGAUAAAAAAAAAUGAAAAUCGUUUAUUUUUAUUUUUUUGACAAGAAUAUCAUUGAAUACUUUUUAGGAAAAUAAAAAGAUUUUCAAAUAUUUUUCAAAUAUUUUAUAAAUGAACUUGUCAUAUUUUUGGAAAUAUGGUUAUUCUUAUAACUUUUACACCUCGUAGAAAACAUACAACUAAAUCAUAAGCAAAUUUUAGCAUAUGUAACCUUUUGAUUUGUGUCUAAAUUUCAUAUUCGUAAAACUUUAGAAUUGCUCAUACAAAUAGAAGUUACAUUCAAAAUAAUUGUAACUACAUUUAUAAUGUGUAGAUAUUGCAUUCUUCGUAUUUAGAAUUCUAUUUAACAAUGGACUAUUGGUUCUAGAAAAUGUAGAAUAACAUUUUUAACGUGUAAUUCAAUUUCUACCAUGCCAUUUUUCUUAGAACAAAAUUAAAAAUGUUAUUUAAAAAAAAUUCAAUCUAAAAAAAUAUAUGGGUAUUUCAUCAAUAGUUUCUAUUUUUUAUAAGUUUUUAUAAUUUUUAUAAUUUUAAAACUAUUUAUUUUAUUAAGUUUAAAAAAUAGAAAAAGUGAUUAUGUAAAAAAAUGGACAAAUUUUUUAAUACUAAAGGGUCAAAACGGUGUUUUUUCAUUCUAUUUCGGCAAGUUUUCUUUUGUUUUUUCCUUUUCCUGUAGCGGUAAACAAACCAAAUAAAAACUAUUUGUAAUGUUUACAUAAAUCUCAAAUCUAAAUAGAAUAAAUUUUGUUUAUUACAUUAUUUUAUCUUUUACUAUUACAAACCUGCAAUGUGUAAAAAAAAAAAAACUAGCAAAUCUCCCUUGGUCCCUAUUUAUAAUAUUUUAAUUUUAUUUUCCGUACAAACAACGUAUCCGUGGUUGAACAACCUACAAUUUAGAUCCGCUGUUUCGCACUCCAUUGGAAGCGCUCUCAUUUGAACCAAUCGCAUGGAGAACCUCUCUUAAAAGAGUCUCUCUCAUCCUACCGUACACGUGUCCAUCAGCUCCCCGUCGAACUAUCUCCUCUCCCAACUUUACGGCGGCUUCAACCGUCUCCGCCGCACUACCAUGCCUGGAAUCCACGAUUCCCAUCUCCAAACCCCGAUCCGCCGUAAUUUUCUCCGCCGUCAACGCCACGUCUCUUCUCGCCGCCGGAGAAGCAACCUUCAUCCGGAUCAUAGCCACAAACCACGCAGGAAGCACGAGCUCGAUAUCCAGCUCACUCAUAUACAGAAACCCUCUGUCGCGACGCAUCAGUAUAUAGUCGUGACUCAUCGCGAGGAGGAAUCCCGCGGCGGAGGCGUGGCCGGUUACGGCGGCGAUCGUCGGCAUAGGGAGAGAGAUGAGAUCGGCGACCAAGGAUCGGAGUUUGGCGGCCAUGAGAGCGCGGAGAGGAGGAUCCGAUGCGGCUAAGGCGAGAUCGUAGCCGUUGGAGAAGAAUUUUCCAUCGGAGGUUGUGAUGAGGACCGAUUGUGAAGACGAUGGGUCGGAACGGAUUUGUGUGAUGGCGGAGCGGAGGUUGUCGAGUAAGGUAGGGUUGAGACGGUGUUCGCCGUCGCCGGUGAGCUUCAGUAAGAAAAGUCGACCACGCUUCUCCAAUGUACACAUCUCUCUGUCUGUGACAGUGACGAUAGUACUUAGUGGCAGAUUAGCAAUUAUGCGUAUUAGAUUAAUAUACCGAGAACUAUAUCUCGAUGUUCGAGCUUGAGGGUAUUUAAUAUAAAAUGUUAAUUUGCUCUAUCUUUUUGAUACGGAAAUAAUUAGAUGAAUAUCCUAAAAUGCUAUCAAAUCAAACUUUUAUUUCUAAAUCUACUAUAUAAUGUCUAAAAUUUCUACGGUUAAAAUGUAAAAUUCCAGGUUAUUGCAUAUACAACGCGUUGUAAAAUGCUUUGACAGAUAAAAGAAAAACAAUAUGAUUGCAUGUUACGGUCCACUGACAUGCAAGUAAAAUGACCAUAAAAGCUUGUUGAAUAAAACAGUAAUGCUGAAAUCAACAGAAUGUAAUCAAGAAACUUGUCAUGAUAGGUUUCCUCAUAUGAUUGGCGGUUUUGCAAAAGAGAUGAAGAAGAUGACAACUUAGAAAAUAAAGUUAGGUAUUUAGAACCGAAGGCUCUAAUACCAUAUAUAAUAGGUUACAUAAUCUUAUUAUGAGAAGAUAUUACGAUACAUGUACGAGUACGAUGAAGGUAUUAGGGAAUAACUACUAACUAGGUGAUUACACGCGUACAUGUGCAGGAUGAAAUGUAUAUACUAGUAAUUAUUGAAUACUGACUUUGAUCGUUCAACCAUAGUUAUAUCGUGUCAUAAGCCCACCAAUGUAUAGACUAUAGAGUCAUGGAAUUUUGAUUUAAAGUUGCGAGUGAUGGCAAAAAAAAGAGUUGCCAAGUCUCGGGUCAGGUUUGUUGAUGUUUUGUUUUACGUAAAGCCAUUUUAAUUUACGUUGGGCUUACAUAACAAAGCAAUACUCAGUCUUUUCUCUACUGACAAAUACUACUAACAGAAAAGGAACAUCGAAAGUACUGACAAAAAGAGAAAAUGAGAUUAAGUUAUCGACUGAGUUAUUUCGAUUACGUCUAAUGUAAUUUCAAUUUUUAGACUUUGAAUCUUUCUCUUUUCAGUUUACUAUCCGUUUUACUCACAUUUUUUAUAUGUUUUAAUUUUUUGUGUACGUUCUUAAAACACAUGAGCUUCAAUUUGUUCUCCAAGUGUAAUAGUUUUUUUUUUUUUUAAAUUAUAUUAUAAAAAGACCCGCUUUACCGGGAAAUAGUUACGGUUACAAGUUCGAUUCAAACAAAAAUACCCAAGUCUACGUAUUACAAAAACUAGCUUCGCCCGCCCACUAAACCCGGCACAUUCCGCUAAUCUGUUUUUAGUAAACACUAGGUAUCGAUUCCUGUUCUCUACCGUAAGCGAUGAUCACAGGAAGGUGAGGUUCUCCUCGUUACCUCGGAUGCCGGGAAUUCCCAUGUCGUCUCCGGAGUAGCUAGGUCUCGAUGAUCUCCUCGAAGCUUGUAACUUUCACCUCCAUAACGCGCAGACGUAAUCGAAGAAGGGAGAUAGAACACUAACCCAUUAAAAACGCUCCAUCACCCGCUAUACAUUCUCCAAGAACGCCCAACCGAUCAAUGGCAUAGAGACACUAAGAUUCCAAACUAAGAACGGUAUGCAAGAAGUCGGGAACGGGUAAGCAGCUGCUCGUGAACAUGAAAACGCUUGAAGACCUGCAAAAAAGCACUAGUGCGCCAACUCUACCAUGACCAACCAAGUGGAGGUCACAGCACUGGGAUGAUUGUCGCACCGGAAGGAGCCACCGACGAUACACAAGGACCCGCAGACUAUACGAAGUCUUCAUGAUCAUCGCCAACCGCCGCCUUAGAGAACCUAAAGCGAUUAGCCUAUCACUGUCAAGAUUGCGCCUGGUGACAACAAGGCAAUCAAACGAAGAACACCACAAGCUGAGACCAACGAAACCAGUCGACAAAGUUCCAGAGGUCAAACAUGAACACGAGCGAGGAAGAGAGAGGCGGAAAGGGAGGGAGGUCGCAACAACGCCUCGGAACGGCCAUAGACGACCGGAACCGACACCGCGCCACCGGAACUACCACGAGCCACCACCGGAAACAGAGGUACACACCACCGCCUUUGGCUAAGCGCGCUAACGAGCUAAAGAGAGCUCCGAAACUCCCAAGACAGAGAACAAACUGGGCCCGCCCUUUCCAAGACACCAAGGAUAGAGCCAAGAACCGUCGUCUCCAUCGCAACACCGCAAACCCAAAGAAACUCAGAUCCCGAAGACCAAAGUUCAGAUCUGAAGUAGAUGCUCGCCUCACGCCUCCACGCGCCGCCAAACCCUAGAGGCAGCUUAAGGGACCGCCUCCGAAACCCUAAACGCCGACUCCUCCGACAGCACCACCCAAGCCAACCGUGCCGUGACUCCAUGGCUAAAGGACUCGCACCAGAACGGAUCUUCUCUGCAGCGAAGGCGCAUCUAGGAAAGCCUCAGACACAGAAACCACUAGCAAGGCGAGAGGGAGGGCGGAACAGCGGAGAAGCAAAGGGAAAACGGAGAAGAGGAAGAGAGGGAGCCUCCGGCGUCGAGGCUAACGUGCACCGGACGCGGGUCCGGCCUCUCAACGCCGGAGCAGUGCGAGAUCUGAAAGUUUGAGUCUUCUAGAAAUGGAAGAGAGAGAU
RNAcentral lists this long non-coding RNA (5570 nucleotides) under Brassica napus (rape). Its description in RNAcentral is "long non-coding RNA (BNAP_LNC005163)". The record is from RNAcentral. Lineage: Eukaryota; Viridiplantae; Streptophyta; Magnoliopsida; Brassicales; Brassicaceae.